ACGCCCACCAGCUAGCCCAUCCAACCAAAAACAACACCCCACCAUUAAUACCCCCAAAUGCACUAACAUUAAACUGAAUAAACCAUUUUUCCCCCUUAGUAUGGGAGACAGAAAAGGGCCCAAGGAGCAAUAGAGAAAGUACCGCAAGGGAACGCUGAAAGAGAAAUGAAAGAACCCAGUAAAGCCUAGAAAAGCAGAGAUUUCAACUCGUACCUUUUGCAUCAUGAUUUAGCCAGCAAAACCCAAGCAAAGAGUACUUUAGUUUGAAUCCCCGAAACUAGUGAGCUACUCCAAGGCACUAUAAAUAGGGCGAACCCGUCUCUGUGGCAACAGAGUGGAAAGAGCUUUGAGUAGAGGUGAUAUACCUACCGAACCUAGUUAUAGCUGGUUGCCUGAGAAUUGGAUAUAGUUCAGCCUCCCGACUUCUCUCCUCAAACACGUCGAAACUUCUGACCCCCCCCCCAGAAACCGUGAGAGUCAUUCAAAGGAGGUACAGCUCCUUUGAAACAAGACACAACUUUUCCAGGAGGGUAAAG
This 536-nucleotide ribosomal RNA is filed under the name Neobathyclupea argentea (West Atlantic deep-sea herring). Its description in RNAcentral is "partial 16S ribosomal RNA". It matches the Rfam family "Bacterial large subunit ribosomal RNA", at positions 410 to 1044 of the family's 2925-position model. The record is from RNAcentral. Lineage: Eukaryota; Metazoa; Chordata; Actinopteri; Acropomatiformes; Bathyclupeidae.